CGGGGUGUGGCGCAGCCCGGUUAGCGCGCUUCCUUGGGGUGGAAGAGGUCGCUGGUUCGAAUCCAGUCAUCCCGACCA
Molecule: transfer RNA, 78 nt
Filed under: Gemmatimonadota bacterium
Lineage: Bacteria; Pseudomonadati; Gemmatimonadota
Description: Gemmatimonadetes bacterium (beach sand metagenome) tRNA-Pro
Rfam family: tRNA
About the family: Transfer RNA (tRNA) molecules are approximately 80 nucleotides in length. Their secondary structure includes four short double-helical elements and three loops (D, anti-codon, and T loops). Further hydrogen bonds mediate the characteristic L-shaped molecular structure. tRNAs have two regions of fundamental functional importance: the anti-codon, which is responsible for specific mRNA codon recognition, and the 3' end, to which the tRNAs corresponding amino acid is attached (by aminoacyl-tRNA synthetases). tRNAs cope with the degeneracy of the genetic code in two manners: having more than one tRNA (with a specific anti-codon) for a particular amino acid; and 'wobble' base-pairing, i.e. permitting non-standard base-pairing at the 3rd anti-codon position.
Source: RNAcentral